GAAAUGCGAUACGUAGUGUGAAUUGCAGAAUUCCGUGAAUCAUCGAAUCUUUGAACGCAUAUUGCGGUCGAGGCUUCGGCUGAGACCAUGUCUGCCUCAGCGUCGGAGUAAACCCUCACCCCUCUUUGACAGCAGUCAAAGCGGGGUGGAGCUGGUCUCCCCAGCGCCUGGAUCACUGGGUUGGCUGAAAUGCAGAGGUACGCGCACGGACCUGUAUGGCACCAGCAAGGUAGGUAGCUCGUCUACUCCAGCUGGCGCUUUGGGCCCGCUGCCGCACCCGCAGGAACCACUCCUUAUCGACCUGAGAUCAGGCAAGGCUACCCGCUGAACUUAAGC
This 336-nucleotide unclassified non-coding RNA is filed under the name plant metagenome. RNAcentral's name for it is "partial contains 5.8S ribosomal RNA, internal transcribed spacer 2, and large subunit ribosomal RNA". The stretch from base 1 to 105 matches the Rfam family "5.8S ribosomal RNA", at positions 50 to 154 of the family's 154-position model. The record is from RNAcentral.